UUAUCUAUGGCAGAAUAUAUGCAUUUGAGUUAGGAUCAAUUUAUACCAAAUUUAGGUUAGAUAUA
Molecule: transfer RNA, 65 nt
Filed under: Rabdotus mooreanus
Lineage: Eukaryota; Metazoa; Mollusca; Gastropoda; Stylommatophora; Orthalicidae
Description: tRNA-Leu
Source: RNAcentral